RNAcentral lists this ribosomal RNA (409 nucleotides) under uncultured bacterium. RNAcentral's name for it is "bacterial SSU rRNA". It matches the Rfam family "Bacterial small subunit ribosomal RNA", at positions 360 to 769 of the family's 1533-position model. The record is from RNAcentral.
AAUCUUGCGCAAUGGCCGAAAGGCUGACGCAGCGACGCCGCGUGGGGGAGGAAGGCCUUCGGGUUGUAAACCCCUGUUGCCCGGGACGAACCCCUGGUUUCGACCAGGUUGACGGUACCAGAUGAAUAAGCACCGGCUAACUCCGUGCCAGCAGCCGCGGUAAUACGGAGGGUGCAAGCGUUAUCCGGAUUCACUGGGUUUAAAGGGUGUGUAGGCGGGCUAUUAAGUCAGUGGUGAAAUCUCUGAGCUCAACUCAGAAACUGCCGUUGAUACUAUUAGUCUUGAAUAUCGAUGAGGUAGGCGGAAUAUGUCAUGUAGCGGUGAAAUGCUUAGAUAUGACAUAGAACACCGAUUGCGAAGGCAGCUUACUAAACGAUUAUUGACGCUGAGGCACGAAAGCGUGGGGAUC